GACGAACGCUGGCGGCGUGCCUAAUACAUGCAAGUCGAGCGGAUUGAUGGGAGCUUGCUCCCUGAUAUCAGCGGCGGACGGGUGAGUAACACGUGGGCAACCUGCCUAUAAGACUGGGAUAACUUCGGGAAACCGGAGCUAAUACCGGAUAAUCCCUUUCCUCUCAUGAGGAAAGGCUGAAAGAUGGUUUACGCUAUCACUUAUAGAUGGGCCCGCGGCGCAUUAGCUAGUUGGUGAGGUAACGGCUCACCAAGGCAACGAUGCGUAGCCGACCUGAGAGGGGGAUCGGCCACACUGGGACUGAGACACGGCCCAGACUCCUACGGGAGGCAGCAGUAGGGAAUCUUCCGCAAUGGACGAAAGUCUGACGGAGCAACGCCGCGUGAGUGAUGAAGGUUUUCGGAUCGUAAAACUCUGUUGUUGGGGAAGAACAAGUACGAGAGUAACUGCUCGUACCUUGACGGUACCUAACCAGAAAGCCACGGCUAACUACGUGCCAGCAGCCGCCGUAA
Molecule: ribosomal RNA, 512 nt
Filed under: uncultured bacterium
Lineage: Bacteria
Description: partial 16S ribosomal RNA
Rfam family: Bacterial small subunit ribosomal RNA
Source: RNAcentral